This 468-nucleotide ribosomal RNA is filed under the name uncultured bacterium. Its description in RNAcentral is "partial 16S ribosomal RNA". It matches the Rfam family "Bacterial small subunit ribosomal RNA", at positions 28 to 507 of the family's 1533-position model. The record is from RNAcentral.
GACGAACGCUGGCGGCGUGCUUAACACAUGCAAGUCGAACGGAAAGGCCCUGCUUGUGUGGGGUGCUCGAGUGGCGAACGGGUGAGUAACCCGUGAGUAACCUGCCCUUGACUUUGGGAUAACUUCAGGAAACUUGGGCUAAUACCCGAUAUGAGCUCCUGCUGCAGGGUGGGGGUUGGAAAGUUUCGGGGGUUGGGGAUGGACUGGCGGCUUAUCAGCUUGUUGGUGGGGUAUUGGUUUACCAAGUUCUUGACGGGUAGGCGGCAUGAGAGGGGGGCCAGGGACCAGAGGACUGCGAGAGGGACCAGACUCGAACGGGAGGCAGCGGGGGGGAAUCUUAUACAAUGAGCCGAAGCCUGAUGCGGCAACGCCGGGUUCGGGAUGUGGGCUUGUGCGUAGCAAACCGCUUUCGGCUGUGACGAAGCGUGAGUGACGGUAAUGGGUAAAGAAGCACCGGCUAACUACGUG